CUGAACAGAUUUUUGUGAAAUUUUGUGUAUGCGAUAAGGUCUAUCCGAGACAGGUUUUGUGUUAUAAUUGGACCCGGUAGGUGGCGCUGUUGUCAAGUUUAAUUCAAAAUCCGUAUUUGGGGUCGAAUGACUGGAUAUUUUUUGUGAAAUUUUGUGUGUGUGAUAAGGUUUGCCCCAGACAGGUUUUGUGUUAUAAUUGGACCCUGUAGGUUGCGCUGUAGUCAAUUUAUUUGUGCUCCACAUAUCAACCGAACCGAGUGAACCGGAAAAAGUUUAACACAUUACAGGGCUAAAAUUUGAAAACAAAUACUUGGAAAGGCGGAACGAAGUCCGCCGGGUCAGCUAGUAAUUUAUAUAUAUAUAUAUCCAUUAAAAUGGACUGGCUUUUACAUUUCCAUUUAAACAUUCAGAUUCAUGGCGUGCAUAUCCAUACCAUUACGCGUGGUUGCCUUUUAGUGAAGAAACCAAACAACUUGUCCUUCCUUCGUUAUCCGAUAUGAAUUUUGUAGAGGAACUGUGCAAUGUAUUAGUUUAAGCAAGACAAAGGAUUCGAUAGAAAAUUGUAUUAACGUCA
Long non-coding RNA from Episyrphus balteatus (marmalade hoverfly), 574 nucleotides. RefSeq lists it as uncharacterized. NCBI's taxonomy places the organism in Eukaryota, Metazoa, Arthropoda, Insecta, Diptera, Syrphidae. The transcript has 3 exons. The record is from RefSeq and is a predicted model, not a curated record.